RNAcentral lists this long non-coding RNA (18033 nucleotides) under Mytilus galloprovincialis (Mediterranean mussel). The record is from RNAcentral. Lineage: Eukaryota; Metazoa; Mollusca; Bivalvia; Mytilida; Mytilidae.
CGGCCUGGCACCUGACCUUGACAGUGAAUUUUUGCAAACAUUAGAAACCGAACGUUUUUCUUGCAACAGAAAGAAUCUAUAGAAUUUACAUUGAUAUUUAUAAAGGUAAGUAGAAAGAUAAAUAAUGUGCGCACCGCAAUAUAUAAGAUAAUACACUUGACGGUAAAUUGGUUUAAUAAUGAGAAACUGACAAGUGUGAAGUGAUAAUCUUUCCUGUGUUUCAUGUUUUUUCUGGUCUAAGAAUCAAAUUUGCAAAAGUCUGAGUCAUCAUUUUCACAGCUUCUCCAAAGCAGUAAGUUGCAGUUCCACUUGGUAGUUCAUUAUUUUCAGAUGCAUGUCAUGAAAUGUUUUGUGUGCAAAUCUGAUAGUGUUUUCAUUUUGUAAACAAAGAAUAUUAAAUAGUUACACAUGCCCAGAACUGGCAGUAGAGCAUCUUUUAAAAGCUGUCAUUGUGUUAUAUACGAUUAAAACUGAAAUGCCUAACAUGUUGCUAGUGUUUGAAGGCUUACUAUGAAUCCCCGCCACAUACAUGUACAUGUAAUUCUUCUGACGGGAGUCAAAAUAUCACGAAUUUUAAAGCUCUCUUCUGUCUCUCUAGUCCUAGAUUUCUCUGACGUUCAACAGCUGUUUUGCAAGACAAGCUGGGGCCGUGGGAUGUCAGAGCUCGUCCCAUAUUAAAAAGUGGAAAUUUGGCCAAUCCAAAAAAGAUCCGCUGCUUUGUUGCUUCUGGUGCCGACUAAUGGCAUUGGAAUUAGAUAAAUUGGGUAUACAAAAAUCUUAAUAAUCAGCAAGUAGGGAUCUAUAUAUAAGUUUGACAUGGUUGAAUAUUCUGACAACACAUACCAGCCAACUUUUGAAAGUGUCCGUGGGGGUUUUAGUGCCAGACAACAAUUUCAAAGGUUGCAAUUCUUUGUGGCGUAUUUUGCGGGUGCUGUUUUGCAGUCUAGAAGAAGUGUCAUAUUUGUAAGAUGAGUUUACAAGCCUUUUUCUCAAGUUUAUUUGCAGGAUUCUAGUUAUUAUAUCAAUAGAAAAGAUGAACAUUUAGCUAGAAGACCAGGAUUUAUUUUCUUGUGUCAAUGUGUGUUAGCAUAAUAAAUGAUUGUUGACUUUUGCAAUUUAAAGUUAUGCACAAAGAAGGACCUUUUUCAGGUUACCCCUCAAUGUAAAGUGUCAUAUUUGUAAGAUGAGUUUACAAGCCUUUUUCUCAAGUUUAUUUGCAUGAUUCUAGUUUUUAUAUCAGUAGAAAAGAUGAACAUGUACUGUAGCUAGAAGACCUGGAUUUAUUUUCUUGUGUUAGCUUAUUAAAUGAUUGUUGACUUUAAUUUUUGCAAUUUAAAAUUAUGCACAAAGAAGGAACUUUUUAAUGUUGGGAACAACACCCCAAAAUGAGGGUAACCCCUCAAUGUAAGGACAUUAUAAACCCCUUUUAAGAACAAAUGUGCACAUAUUUAUAUUUUUUUGAGAAAGUUUUCCCAAAGAACUAUUAAUCUAUCUGGUAUAUGGUCAAAACAUGUCCAAGAAUUUUGUGAUAUUCCUGGACAUUUAUCUUCUUUAUUAUUAAAAAUAAUAGAACCCAUCAUUUAAAAAAGUUGUUCCAAAUAUAAUGAAUUUUCUUUGUUUGAAGUUGAGAAAAUCUAAAAUUUUAUUUUUUUAUUUUUACAACAGUAAAAUGACCAUUUGUCUUCACUUAGGGACAGCUAGCAUGGAUACCCCUCAUUUGUAUGUUGGGAGAUGGGUUUGUUCCAUACCUGUUUGUUUAGUCCUGGUGAUAAAUUGUACUUUAAAUGAUUUGGUAAUUUAACAGGUUUAGUUGAAUACAAAAAAUGACAAAUGUUACAGCAAGUGUAAUUUCAAUAACAUAGUGAAUAAACUACUAUUUAUUAUCUUUAUGGUAGUAUUGCAUCGUUGCAUUUUGUUAAUCAGCUAUGUUUUUAUUCUUAAGCUGUGUAAGAACUUCCUUGCAGAUGAAAAUUCACCUGCCAUGUUCACGACUUCACAAUUCUGACUAACAGAGGAAUACAACACAAAGUCAAAAUCUAGCAUGUUAGGGAUUGUUUUCCCCAUGGGAACAGUUCAAAAUCGAGAACAAUAAUUUUUAUGCCCCACCUACGAUAGUAGAGGGGCAUUAUGUUUUCUGGUCUGUGCGUCCGUUCGUUCGUCCGUCCGUCUGUUCGUUCGUUCGUCUGUCCCGCUUCAGGUUAAAGUUUUUGGUCGAGGUAGUUUUUGAUGAAGUUGAAGUCCAAUCGACUUCAAACUUGGUACACAUGUUCCCUAUGAUAUGAUCUUUCUAAUUUUAAUGCCAAAUAAGAGAUUUUACCCCAAUUUCAGGGUCCACUGAACAUAGAAAAUGAUAGUGCGAGUGGGGCGUUUUGGGGAAAUUUUCACUAAAUUGUGUUUUGAGUUUUUUUCACGAUCAUGAUCGUGCAAUGGUGACAAAGGGUCAAAAUCGUGUAGUACACGCCUAAAUCGUGAAAAUUGGCGAGUAUGCAACUCCUUAUUGGAGUCAUUGGAUGAAACUUGGGAAUCUCUUGCAAUUGCUGGCUUGAUAGGAAUGAAAGUUAUACGGAUGGAAGAAAGAUGAUGAAGCAUACAGAUUUUGGGUGUACGUUCAAAGUGCAAGAUUACUGAUUUGUACGUACAUUUUGUAAACACGAAAAAAAUAAAAAAUUGUUUCCCUUGUCUGAUUUUAAUGAAACUUGUACAGAUGGAAAAGGGAAAGCCUAUCAGUUUUUGUGGUCAAUGUUUCAAAGAUCAAUUCACCUUAUAAAGCAAAAAUUAAGUUAGUUUCUAGAUGAAAACUUAACCUUCCAUUGGUUCAACUGGCAAAAAUACAGCAACCUUGUCGAAAAUGUUAUUCAAUUUUUAUACGACCCCAAAAAAUUUUUGGGAUCGUAUAAUGGUAUGAUGUCGGCGUCGUCUGAAGACACAUUGGUUUCCGGAUAAUAACGAGUUUAAGUGAAUAGAUCUUCAUGAAAUUUUUUCAGAAGGUUUAAUACCACAAGAGGAAGGUUGGGAUCCAUUUUUGGGCAUGAUGGUCACAACCGUGUAGUAAAUAAGGGGCCAAAAAGGGGCCAAAAACAAGCAUUUUUCUAGUUUCAGGAUAAUAACUUGUGUACAAGUAUUUCAAUUGCUCUGAAACUAUACCACAAUGUUUACAACCACAAGUAGAAGGUUUGGAUUCAUCUUAGGGGUUAUGGGGCCAAAGUUAACAUGGUUAAGGAAUUAAGGGCCAAAACAAGUAUUUUUCUAGUUUCCAGACAAUAACUUGUGUGUAAUUUUAUGGAUCUCUCUGAAAUUGUACCACGAUUUACCAUAUAACAAAGGGGAGGCUGGGAUUCAGUUUUGGGUUAAUUGCCCAAAAUAUGUAGGAAUUAGGGUCCAAAAAGUAGCAUGUUUCUAGUUUUCAAACAAUCAUAAUAACUUUUAUUUAAGUGUAUGGAUCUCUCUGAAAUAGUACUACAAGGUUCAAUACUACAAAGGAAGGCAUGGGAUUGAGUUUAAGGGUAAUUGCUUCAAGGGGGGUUUCAAUAAGUUGGGAGGAGAUUUUUUGUUUACCAUUUUUUUAAGGGAUUCCCUUUUUUUUCAAAAUUUUUCUAAUUUCAAAUUUUGAAAAGUUUCCAGAAGAAAUCUUCUAUCACACAGUAUUGUGCAAUAGAUUUAUUAGAUAUUUGACCACAUUAAUUUGUGACAAAAACCCUAUAUUAUGUCAAAAAUUUGAUCACAAUCCAAAUUCAGACAGUAUCAAGCUUGAAUAUUGUGACCAAAUUUGCCCCAACUGUUCAGGGUUCGACCACUGGGGUCGUAUAAAGCUGCGUCCUGUGGAGCACCUGGUUGAGGAAGGUAUUGCCCUCAAAUAACCAUUCUUGAUAUCUGUUUUAUUGUGUUCACUAGAAAAAUAUGCACAAGAUAGAAUUAGUGUUAUUUUGUUUUCUUUCUUAUUUUAAUGGUUACACUGGUGCCUGUGAUGAAAAUCCUUGUAACAACAUGUAACAAUGGCAAAAGAAAACUUAAUUUUCACAAUUUAAAAUUCAUGUUCCUAACAUUCACAUUAUUUUUUGUCUCACUUAAUGGAGUCAAAAAGCUAGACAUAGGUACAAUGUAUGCUGUUUCUGGUGACAGCAGUGACGGCAGCACUAACAACAAUGUAUUUUUUUGUGUCUAGUGUAUGGUGAACAACAAGUGGUAGGUCAUUCAUAUUUGGUUGUUGGCAGUUAUCUAAGCAUAGGCACAUCUCAUUUCCAUGGAGAUUAUUUAGCCCUACCCCUUAGUCAUGGUCUAUUGAUCUUGAAACAUGCUCAUUUUUCAUGUGUAAGUUUGUGAUUAGGUCAGUUUAUCAUGUUUAUGGGGAACCACUAGCAGUAGUUCAAUCAUAUUUGGUAAGCAGUUGUAUAAGCAUUGGCAUAUCUCAUUUCCAGGGAGAUUAUUUGGCUCCAUCCCCUUAGUAAUUGUCUAUUGGCUUUGACACUUUUGCUUAAUUUACAUACAUAUAUAUACAUGUAAGUUUGUAACAAGAUCAAUUUAAGAUGAACUGCUAAUGUUAAGUCAAUGAUGUUUGGUAUUCAAAUUUAUUGGCAUUUGCAAGUAUCAUUUCCAUGGAGAUUAUAUAGUCCCACCCCCUCUUUAUGGUUCAUUAAUUUUAAAACUUUUACAUAGUUUACAAGUUAAUGUUUGUAUUUUGGUUUGUCUAAAGGGAACGACUUAUAAGUCAACGGUAUUUGGUAUGCAGUUGUUUUAGCAUUGGCACAUCUCAUUUACAUGGAGAUUUUUUAGCCAUGUACCUCAGUCAUGGUUAAUUGACUUUGAAUUUUUGCCUAACUUAUGUACAUGUAACAUGUUUAAGUACAAAUGUAUUGCUUUUUUAAUUACAACAUUUGCAUUAUCAAAAUUAUAAAAAUGUGAGACAUAUCUCUGUGAUAAAAGUUUAUUUUAUUGGACUAUUUGAAAUUUAGCAUAGGGUUUUAUACCCACCAUGAAUUUGUCUGGUACAUAUACAUAGACUAGCCCAUGCAUAUGUUCAUUUAAUGUUACAUACAAUCUAGUUGUAAAUCCAACAUAGAUCAACAUCGAAUUUGGACAUGUUGGAGAUACAUUUUGAUAUCAUCAUGUACAUGUUGUUGUAUCCCAUCACUAGAUAGUUACUUAUGAUAACAGAUACGUAGACAUAAUGGAGUUACUUGUACCUUUCUACACAGGUAGAUGGUGAUAUGGACCAUUGUGAUAGUCGAAUCCUAAUCAGGUUUUAUAGGCUUUGAAUAAGGUGGCAAUAAAUAAGGUGGCAAUUUUGAUAAUUGCAAUUGCCAAGUAAGACACUUUUAAGAUGAACUGUUGUCUAACCAACUUUCUCACCAAAGGCACUCACAUACUCGGAUCUUUCAUUUUAUACACUGAAGUUAAUCACCCUCAUCAUCAUGUAACAAUUAUGUCACCACUCACAGUACUAUAACACCUGUAUCAUCUGUAUAAAGUAAAUCCAUUGACCUUGUCCUUCAUUCUAUUUCUAAGCAGCUUUCAUAUUUAUAUAUAGAUACAUGUAUGUCUAUAUUAUAGAAUAUAUAUAUUACCAUAAGGUCAAUCUGUAUAAAUUACAUCAUUGAACAAUCUGUGACAUAAUAUAACAUAAGAAUUUUGACAAUUUAAAACCUUGGAAAUCUAAAGGCAUUUCAAUUACAUGAAUUAGUAAAAUAAGAAACAUUUAAAGGCUCCCAGAACAGUUAACAUAAAAUUAAGAACGGAAUUUAUAGGGAAUGCCUUCCCCAGGUGGAAACAUGUACGGAACAGUUGGAUCAUCAUGACCUAUUUUUAGGGAUGAGCAACAGUGUAGAAAAUCAGUGUACCAUUUAAUUUUCAUAUAGGUUGAAGUGUAGGCUUUUUAUCACAUUUUGUAAGCACAUCUUGCAGUAUUUUUUGAAGCAUUCACUACUAGUACUAGACAAUUGAAUUUGAAGGUUUUAUGUUAAUUCUUUGAUAAGUGCAAGGUAACUAAUUAUAUUUGUAUAUCUAAAUGCCAUAUGUAAAUAAAGUCGAUAUACAUUUCUGACAUGAUGAUUAUAACAUAUUUUAUAGAAAUCGGUUAAGAUUAAUUUGGGAAAGAUUCCAGCAUCAGUUUUUGAUAGUGUUAUAUAGAUUAAUUAUUACAUACAAACAUAUUUACGUGUUAAGUUAGCAAAUUUAAAUAUCUUUUUUAUAGAAUUCAUUUAGUAGAUUUCUUUUUAAUGGUUACAUAUGAAAUUGAACCAACAUUGGCCUGUUACAGCCAGUCAUUUAGAUUGAUUUUAAAUAGAAACAGACCUCUCUCUAUCAUGGAAGGCCUAUAAUGAUCAAAAUGGAAUAUUUUUAGUUUUAUAUCUAUUUACAUUCAUUUCUGUGGUCAUAGAAAGUGACAAACUUGUAGAUAUUUUUUCUGUGUUACUUGUUUACAAAUGAAUUAUAACAUGUAUAUGACACUCUGGUCUCUGAAAUGAGUCAAAGUCCAUUGUUAAACAAAAAUUGAAGGAAGAAAUGGACUUAAUAUAAAUUUAAGCUACUGACAUUUGAAGUUUCUGAAAAUUUUGUGAUAUUUUAAAAUACAAACCACCAACAGUUACAAAAAAGUGACUCUAGUCGAUAACUAUCAUAAAUUUGCAUGAUUUGAUAAAAAUAUUGUUCAUAAAAUAUGACGUGAGAAGAUGUAUUUAAUAUAACAAAAAUGUACAUGUUGAAAGUAAGAAUAGAUGGACAGCACAUAUAAAGUAAUUUUAUACUUAAAACUAUUGUAAGAUUGUAUGAAUAAGAGUAAGAACACUUAAUCAUUGAUUCUUAAGAAUCUUAAACACUUAAAAAAAAAAAUGGGGGUCCAAAUGGCCCAAGCACAAUUGGUUUGAAAUAUGUUAAAUGAUUAUAAUUAAUUGAGUUGAAGAAAUAUUUUUCUCUCAAUCUAUGAGUUUCAGGUUUUUAGCCAGUAAUAUCAGUUAUAAUGGAAAUAAAAUUACUAAUUUUCAAAAGCAAGUAUCAUGACAGUUCAUCAUCCCUCCCUGUGUUACUGUCAAAACAAGUUACAUGAUUAAACAAAUUGAUACUAAUUGAGUAAUUGUAAUGAGUUUAGAGGCUUCCAUGUUCACAGUUGUAAAUGUUGACUUGUUUGGUUAACCUUUAAUUUAUAAAAAAAAGAGAAGAAAAUGAUCUUACAUGUAUAAAAAUAUAUUUUAAAGAUCGAAGAUUUAAAGUUAAGAAUGUCAAAUUUUAUAACAAGCCCUGUACAAUAUAUCAUGUCGAGUGCCAUGUAAACAGUUUGCAUUCUCAAAGUGAAAAUACUUGUAACCUUCAAUCAUAUUUCAUCAUGCAGAAGUGUUACAUGGUUUUAAUCAAGAUCUUAAAAUAAACAAAUUGAAAACAUUUAUAUUACCUAAACUAAUACUUUAUUGGUAUUGUUAUGGAUUUAUAAAGGAAGUUGAGUGUAGACAAUGCAUAAAAUAUAACCUUAUUCUUAUGAGGAAAUAAGAGUAAAUAACCUUCGAUUCCUGAAUAUUUAGAGACGUCCAAGUGUAGAUGAUGCAUUAAAUAUAACCUUAUUCUUAUGAGGAAAUAAGAGUAAAUAACCUUCGAUUCCUGAAUGUUUAGAGACGUCCAAGUGUAGAUGAUGCAUUAAAUAUAACCUUAUUCUGAUGAGGAAGUAAGAGUAAAUAACCUUCGAUUCCUGAAUAUUUAGAGACGUCCUUGUCUCAGAAAAGAAUGCUUAAGUAGGCAAUAUCAAAUCAGUUGUUCGUUGACAACGAUGGUAAUUACAAAAAGUAGGAUAGGACACUUACAAUUCUAUUACAAAGUGUAAUUGGUUUUAUGUUGCGUAGAAUAUACAGUAUGUAAAGCUGGAUAUAUAUUUAUGACAAAAGUCCUUAUAGAGUGUGUUAUACAUAAAAAGGACAAUUCAAACCACCCAAUAUGCUAAACAGCACAACACACCAUUUCAGCCACCUACACACUAUUCCAACUUAUUACAAACACUUAAUAUGGAACAACACAUAGUCUAGAUAGUUUGACUUGGAACAAGCAGAAAAUGUGGUGGUCCAACUAACACAAACUCCCCCCUUUUGUUAUUUUACACCAUGACAUGUAGACCACAUGUAAACUAGAACACAUUGACUGAUAUGGAGUGUUAUCAAUCUUAAUCUAAAAAGACUUUGCAUAUUAAUUAGUUUUUGGGAUACGAUUGCUUUCAAGCAAUCUGUAGACUUAUACCGGUGGCUCAGGACAAUGCCCUCACGUCAACCGUUUUAUUCUAAACAUUAAGGACCAUCUCAGAUUCUUAUGAUUGUCUUGGUUUAAAAGGUAAAAACAAACAAAGGGAUUGAACUUAAACAACUUUCCUAUAAUGUUCUUUUCAUAAUCUUCAUGUUUGAUAUUUCCCUUGACUUAUAUGCGUUUUAACAACACGGAAAAUCAUGCAGAAUCAAGCAGUAUUUAUAUUUAGUGUUUUUAUAAAUUUAGAAACACGUCAGAGGGAAUCCCCCAGUUGUUGCGAGAGUUCUCUGAAUUCCGAUAAAUCUAUUUCUGUCAUAUAAGAACUGAAGUGGAGUUUUACUUAUAUGUCGCCGUUAUUAAACUGAUAUUUGAUAUUGUACUUCCAUAAAAAAUAGAGAACCAUUUAGGUUUAAUAUACGUUCUUACUACAGGGUUUGUUUAGGUAAUUAUGCGCAUGCGUAUAGUUUUCUUGACUUCAAGGGGUACUAGGUUAAAUGUUUGCUCUGGAUUCCCCACUCGAUUGAUUAAUUUAUAACUCAUGGGAUCCUUUUUAUGAAUGUCUGCUAUUGAUGGUUAUUGUUGCAUAAUUUUAAAUCAUACUAGAACACACCCGUGAUAUCGCGGGUCCGUGACUGAAUUAAAGUAUAUAACUAUGCGCAAGCAUUAUUUUAGUAUUAUUAUUGUCAUCUGAUAAAGUCAUGCCGAUUAUAAGAUACACAGUUCUCUCUGCUUUCAAAUCUUUCUGUUUGAACCCGUCGAACUGGAACUUAUCAAAUGAAUUAUUGGUAAUAUUAAUUAUUUGGAAAACAAAAGGUCCUGGAAUGGAGUAUUUUUUAAUCAACAGCAUUGUCCUAUAUAAGUUAUAAAUAAAGUUGAAUUCUUUGAUUCGCUGUUUUACGUCAUGCCCGCUAACAAAUUGAAAACUGUACCUAUACGCCUUAUUUUUAGUCCAGAUUUUAAGUAUUCGUAUUGUUAUCUUAGAAAGUCUUACUGAUUAAAAUACUACAAUAGGUAACAAUUCGACAAUUUAGUAGUGUCAACCCUGUGAUUAUGACCCGUGUAUAUAGCAUAUUAAUCCUGAAUACACCGUUUGUUGGUGCGCCUGUCAGAUGCGGAACGUACAGAUAAGGUAAUAGGUAACAGGUGAAUAUACUAUUGGUAUCGGUAUCGGACUCGACCCAGAACUUCUUAAUUAUUGGCGAUAUUAAUUACGUGGAAAACAAAAGGGCCUGGAGUGGUGUAAUUUUUAAUCUACACCUUUGUACUAUAUUAGUUAUAUAUAAAGUUGAAUUCUUUGAUUCGUCGUUUUUACGUGAUGACGGCUGACAAAUUGGACCUCGUAAUUUUAGUAUUAUAGAUGCAUCAUUUAAAUUAAAAUAAAUUAGUCCACAUAUCGUUAUGGUUUAUUUUCAACACCCCUUCAGGCGAAAUGGAGUCUUCCAUAUUAUCGUCCGUGAAUUCUGAAUCCAAACAUUACGUUGAGAAAAUUUAACUCGCUCUGGCGAUAAACUUCGUAUUAUAUUAAAAACGAUCGCAAUUUAAACCGAGGAAUGUGUACGGAAAGGAAUCAUGAUCACUGACCCAAAGGAAAUUCAAUAUUUAAAGAGAUAGGAAUGGGGUUCCUCCUAGAAUUAACGUAGGAAAAUAGGUGAUAAGAUACGAAGUGAAAUACUUCUCUCACUCGGAGUCUCAGUGACUGCUGUGGAAAGUAAACUUGGAAUUGAUAGUACAAAAAUAAAACACAAUAGGCCUAGGUACAUUGUUCAUACACUUCUAACCGGGAUCGGCUAUUUUGUCACUAUUCAGAUUACGCAAAUUACAUUUUACAUGUGCAGUUGAAUUAGUUUUGAAAAUAAUAUUAUCCAGCUACAUGUACAUGUAUACAUGUGUCAAUGAAAACAAUGGCAAUCGUAUCCCUCAGAGCAAUCUGCUCUUUGAUUUUUAUUCACUUCAUAUAAAGAUGAUUUUUUCCUUAGAUUUUUCUUAUAGGAUAAAACACCAAACUUCCAAAACAAGGUAGGCUCACUUUUCUUUCUUUUGUGAUCAAAAUUUACAAAGAUUUAAAGUUAAAUUAUAUGAAAAAGUAAAAUCACAAAAAUACUGAACUCAGAGGAAAAUAGAAAAUCAAAGUCCAUAAUUAAAUGGCAAAAUCAAAUGAUAAAACACGUCAAAUUAAUGGACAACAACUGUCAUAUUCCUGACUUGAUACAGACAUUUUCAAAUGUAGAUAAUGGUGGAUUGAACCUAGUUUUAUAGCCUUAAACCUCUCACUUGUAUGACAGUCACAUCAAAUUUCAUUACAUUUACAACAUGCAUGAACAAAACAGACAUAAUAGGUAACAUUGUCAAAAUAUGGGUACAGCAGUCAUCACUUUGAAUGACAUAUAUUUGGGAAAUAUUUUACAAUGCAUACACAUUAAUUAGAAUUUUUGAAAAUGUAGCCAAUUUGUCUUCAUUUUGAGCUUGAUAAAUAUACUUAAGGAUUUUGAAAAAUAAUAUAAUUCUUGUUUUGAGCCACAGUCACUACCAAAUGAAAAUAAGAAGAUGACACUGGUUUCAUUGCCAAUGACACAACUUGCCACAAUAGACCAAAUGACAUAAAAGCAUGAUUUUAAUUACAAAAUAUACUAUCCAAUAUUACAUGCAUUGGUUUGAAAUUGGAACAAAACUCAGGGAUUUGAUAGUUUUUUGUCGAGCCUGCAAAUUUUGUUGCAGAAAGCUCGCCAUAGGGAUAGUAAUCGGGCGGCGGCUACGGCGGCGGCGUUAGCUAACUUCGUAAAAGCUUUAUAUUUUAGAAGGGGGAAGACCUGGAUGCUUCAUACUUUGUAAAUAGAUGCCUCAUGUUACGAAGUUCUGUCAGUCACAUGUCCAUUGUCCUUGACCUCAUUUUCAUGGUUCAGUGACUACUUGAAAAAAGAGUUCAGAUUUUUUGUGAUGUUGAAUUCUCUCUUAUUAUAAGUAAUAGGAUAACUAUAUUUGAUAUGUGCAUACCUUGCAAGGUCCUCAUGUCUGUCAGACAGUUUUCACUUGACCUCGACCUCAUUUCAUGGAUCAGUGAACAAGGUUAAGUUUUUGGGGUCAAGUCCAUAUCUCAGAUAUUAUAAGCAAUAGGGCUAGUAUAUUCUAUGUAUGGAAGGACUGUAAGGUAUACAUGUGUUUUGGUCUGUUUUUCUCAUACUAUAUGCAAUAGGUCUACUAUAUUUGUUGUAUGGAAUGAUUGUAAGGUGUACAUGUCUAGCGGGCAGAUGUCAUGUGACCUUGACCUCAUUUCAUGGUUCAGUGGUCAAAGUUAAGUUUUUGAGUUUUGGUCUUUUUAUCUAAUACUAUAUAUGCCAUAGGUCAACUAUAUUUGGUGUAUGGAAAUAUUUUAGGAUCUUUAUGUCAGUCACGCAGGUUUUAUUUGACCUUGACCUCAUUUUCACGGUUCAUUGCACAGUGUUAAGUUUUUGUGUUUUGGUCUAUUUUCUUAUAGUCAUAUGAAACGAGUGAGUGGUGAAAAAUAAUGUUUAUCCAAUUCCUGAAUCAAUGCAUGUGUAUACCAUAAACUUAGCUCUCUGUGCACGAUUUUAUCUUUUUUUACGCAAAUAUAUCGUUCAAUAGUAAUUUUUUUCUCUCUCUCUGUCUGUUAUGAUUUAACAAAUAUGGGUACUCAUUAAAUGUCGUGUUUUGAAGCCGAAAGUUUAACGACUGACACCUUAUAGUAAACAAAUAACUAAGAGCAUGGGUUUUCAGCACGUGUUUAACAUGUAUAAUCAAAUAUUGUUUAUUUUAAUGACAGAUCCAUGCGUAUUGCGAUCACCGGAUUUUUACGAGGAGGGUCACGCUCAGGUCACUAUGCAUACGGAAAAUAUGUCGGCGAAUUGCUUUCUGGAAGCAAGCAAUUAAGAAUAAGUAGACUUCUUCUAAAUGUGGACAAAUUAAAGAAUUUUCCUCAGAAAAAUUAUAUGUACAUAAGUUGCAUAAUGAAAACUAUCCAUUUAGUUAUAAAAAAAACAUAUGCAUAUUUUUUUUAAUUUGAGGUUUCUUAUGACUUUAAACUAUAAGUAAUAGGUCAACUAUAUAUGUUGUAUAGAAGCAUUGUUAGCUGUACAUGUCUGCCUGGCAUGGUUCAUCUGACCUUGACCUCAUUUUCAAGGUUCAUUGGUCUUUGUUUAGUUAUCUUGGUUAAUGUUAAGUUUAUGUGACAGUUGUAAUAAAGCUUUAUACUUAGGACUAUCAACAUAAUAUCAAUGAUUAGUAUAGAAGGCGAGACAUUUCAGCGUGUGCACUCUUGUUUUUUUAUAAGUGUAGGCCUAUGAGUGAUUGAAAGAUUACAAAACUCCAAUCUGAUUGCUGAAUUUUGUACUGAAAGAAUGACGACUAGACUUCCAAUUGAAACUCAUUCAUUGAUAUUUUUGCUUAUUCUUUCAACAGAGUGGAGUUUAAAAGCAAAUAUCCCUCAAAUUGUUUUUAAGAAAUACAUGUAAAGGGGAUUUUUUUAUACAUCCGUAAAGUUUCUUAAUUGAAACAUAUUUGAAUGAGCUAUAGUUGAUUAAGCUUUCUUUAUAUGUCUUUUAUAUGUCUUUUAUAUAUAUAUGUGCUUGCACUUAUAAGGAUAUCAAUAUUUAAAUAUUUUCAGUAAAUACAGCUUAGUGUAAGAAAUAUAGUAAGGUAAAAAUUUUUAUAAUAGAAAACGACAUUAGAUGAGAAAUUUUAAAAGGUCCUUUAAUAAAACCAUUUCAAUGACUAUUAUGUAUUUUUUUUCAAACUGCGUUUCUUUACCUAUUGAGGUUUUUUUUAUUAAAUUAUUUUACUAAAACUAGUACAGUAUGAACUGUACAUUGAUUGAUCUUCUGAUCUUUUGCUUGACAUUUACAAGAUUAUUCUAUAAUAAAGUGCAUUUGCACUUGAGACAGAUCUAUGAGUUUGAUUUUUCUGGUCAAUAGUUAUUAUACUAAUUAUGUACGAGUGUGAUGAAAAUCAAAUUGACUUAUUAGUUUUGUUCUGUAAAAGAGUCAAUGAUUGUUUUACUUGUUUGGCAAAAUGUCUGAUGUUGCUAUUUCAGAGUAGCUGUACAGAGUUUGCUUUAGCAAUGAUAUUUAAGAUGAUUGCAAAGUUUUUGCAGUGAUUAUGUUGUAGUCCAGUCUAUUGACACAAUCUUUUCCAUCCUAUAUGUAUUGUUAUACCUGUAAGUGAUUGAUCAGUAAAAAAUAUGUUUGUUGACAAAGAAAUACCAGGCAGUAGCUAGACUGUUCUUCUUUUUCGUCCCGUCUUGUCACUGCAACCAUGUGUACAGUUUUUGUCAAGAUUUUUAUAAAAUUUAUAUCAUAUCAUGAGCAAUUCAUGUGACAACUUUAAAAAUCAAUGACAAUCCCUGUUAGAUAUUUUUAAAGGAGUUAUGCGCUGUGGAAAUAUUAAUUAUAUCGGAAUUUGCACUGCAUUUGCUCUGAAGCCUUCAUUUCUCAGACAUAUUUUUAUGCAGUUCAGGAGUUAUGGGAAAAUGCCAUAUUAUGUUUCUGUACUAUAACUUUAUGAAUUGCUUAACUAAUCUUUUUAAAAUUUAAAUAAUGAAUAAUAAAACACAUUGGACAGAAAGCUUACUAGAGUUAUGGAACUUUGACCAUUUUCUGAACUAUGGACUAUUGUAAUGAAAUGACACCUUGACUGUGAAGGCAACUUCUCUUGAUCUUCUUGGAUUGUUUAACAGAAGGCUCUCUUAUUUGGUAGUUGUGUUUGCCGUAGUCUGUUUUUGACCAUAUUGUACAUUCAUUUUGAUUUGAUCAUUUUUACGGGAGUAAUGGGACUUUAUAACUUGUUGAGACUAUCAUACAUGUACCACAAUGACACUUUGUGGAUGCAACUCUUCUUGAACUGUUUUCAGAAAGCUCUCAUAUGUGGUAGUAUUGUUUGCCAUCAUUUGUAGUAGGCCAUAUUAUACCAUCAUUUUGAUUCAACCAUUUUUACCAGGUAAAUGGGACUUUGACCAUUUUGUUUUAAUAUUGUAUCUCAUUUACAAUGACUCAAUGGUUGGCUUAUUGUUUAUCAAUCAAAGUCAAAAGCUUGAAAUACACACUUUAAUCUUAUCUUUUCCCCUGAUGUACACCUUUAUUCUAUACACAUUACAUAAUUUUAUUUGUCAUUUAUAUAUACAGAUGGGGAAUGAUUAUGAGGGCAUUUCACUACAGUGUUAUAGUCUUAUAAUUUUAUUUGACUUUAUUAACUGAAACCAGGCUAUUCAGGUUCUCUUGAAAUGUUUCACAUAUCUAUAAUACUAAAAUUACGAGGUCCAAUUUGUCAGCCGUCAUCACGUAAAAACGACGAAUCACAGAAUUCAACUUUAUAUAUAACUAAUAUAGUUACAAAUGUAGAUUAAAAAUUACACCACUCCAGGCCCUUUUGUUUUCCACUUAAUUAAUAUUGCCAAUAAUUAAGAAGUUCCGGGUCGAGUCCGCUACCGAUACCAAUAGUAUAUUCACUGUUACCUAUUACCUUAUCUGUACGUUCCGCAUCUGACAGGCGCACCACCAAACGUUGUAUUCAGGACUAAUAUGCAGGGUUGCAAAGUAUUACCCGCCCGGGAAACCCAGCGGAAUUCCGGGUUUUUCCCGGGCUGGCAAUACUCCAGAAAUAGGUAAUACUGGUAAUACUGGGCAUAAGACUUUUUAAGCUUAUUUUAAACAAACUAGUAAAGUCUUGUUGUGUUUCAUAUAUUAUAGCUAAAUAUAUACAUUUUAUACAGAUAACAUUGACAUCAUUUUCUAGAAGAUUGAAAAUUCAAUUUCUUCUUUCUCCACUACUUCUAUGUAGGCAGAAUACAAAAUUUGAAUAUUUAUAUUAUUUAUACCUUGUUAAUUUCAUUAUGUUUCAACUAUUCAAACUUAAAAAAAUGCAUUUUAUAGCAGUGUUUAUGUGAAUUAUAAAUUUAAAUGUCUAUGCAAUCAUAUUGCUAAAUAAACACCUACAGGUCAGGUCAUUAACCUUAUAGAAAUGAAAAGGCUGAAUAUUGUUAUAUAAACAUAUCAAUGUCCUAAUCUGAAUAAUUACUUAUUAAUUAGGGAUGCUCAUAUAAAUUAUGCAAAAGUAAUUUUUCUAACAUUUUCUUGUUAAUUCUUAAUGUAAGAUAUAUACAUUUAAAAAUAAUCUUUGUAUUUAUGUUAACAGUUAGACCAAUCUAGACGAGAGAUUUAAUAGACUUUCUGAAGAGAAUUAUUGAUCAAGGCCUUUUCCAUUAAUAUUUGUAAUGUGUGCCUACAUUUUACUUGUCUCAUAGUUGCAAGAAUAGUACUUUUUCAAAUUUAUAUACACUUGUAUUAUCACUCUCAAACAAGUAAACUAAUUUAUAAAUCAAAAUGUGUUUAUAAAUAACUUAAAUGUAUUGCAAUUGAGUUUGAUCACUGAAUCCUCUUUAAAAUUUAGGCCAGUAUUUUAUAUUACCCUAUUCCCAUUAAAAACCCAGUAAAACCCGGGUUUUCCCAUAUUUCCCACUGGCUGGGCAAUACUCAUAAACGGUUUUUGCCAACCUGCUAAUAUGCUAUAUACACGGGUCAUAACCACAGGGUUGACACUACUAAAUUGUCAAAUUGUUACCUAUUUUAGUAUUUUAAUCAGUAAGACUUUCUAAGAUAACAAUACGAAUGCUAAAAAUCUGGACUAAAAAUAAGGCGUAUAGGUACAGUUUUCAAUUUGUUAGUGGGCAUGACGUAAAACAGCAAAGCAAAGAAUUCAACUUUAUUUAUAACGUAUAUAGGACAAUGCUGUUGAUUAAAAAAUACUCCAUUCCAGGACCUUUUGUUUUCAAAAUAAUUAAUAUACCAAUAACUGAUAAGUUCCAGUCAACGGGUUCAAACAGAAAGACUUGAAAGCAGAGAAAAAUGUGUAUCUUAUAAUCGACAUGACUACAGAUGACAAUACUAAUACUAAAAUAAGGCUUGCGCAUAGUUGUAUACUUUAAUUCAGUCACGGACCCGUGAUAUCACGGGUGUGUUCUAGUAAUUAUUAAGGAUCUUUCAUAGUUUUGUAUAUGAAUUUUGCUCAAUGUUGAAGACUGUCCUGUUUCCUAUAUAGCUAUUUAAUUUGGUCCUGGUUAGAUAGUUGUCUGCUUUGCAGUCAUACCACAUUUCCUUAUUUUGAUAUUUGUACUGCUCCUAUUUGUAAUAAGCUGCAUAGGAUUGCCGGUAAUAGUGUUGAUAUCAGUACUUAGACCAUUAUAGUUCUUGUACGAAAAAUUACGUAUUUGCAUUACAGAAAAUCUCAACCUGACAUUAUUUGUGAUUACCGACAUAUAUUCUAUAUGAAAAGUCUUAUCCUAGAACAGCAAAAAUGCAUUAUUGUUAUGUGAACAAUCUUGUGUUUUAUAUAUGUCAUGUCAAUACAUAUGCUGUGGGAAUUUUUAUCUGCUUUAUUUAUCUACUUGUAGUUAGACUUAUGUUGAUUUCUUUUCUAUUUUAGGCAUUACUUUCUAUUUGAAAUGUGUGUUAUCGUUUGAUAUUUAACAAUAGUUAUAAACAUUGUUUCCAUGGUUGAAAAGGUUACAUAUUUCCAAAUUACAUAAACAAGUCUGAUAUUUUUUUCUUAAAUCGGUCAGAGCUGAACUAGUUGAAUGAUGUAAGAAUAAUAUUUAUUUUGCAUUUUUAUGUUGACAGAUGAAUGCAUAAUCUAUCAUAAUUUCCUGUUUUACAUUGUAUGCUGGUAUGGCGUAAACAAAUUGUUUUAAUGAGUGAUCUUUGUAUUAGGUUAGGUUAGGUGUGGUUAAGUUUUGUAAAAAGUCACUAAAAAUUGAUUUCAUCAUGUUCAAUAUAUACAAUCCUGAAACAGCAGUGGUAAGUCAACUUCUUUUAUUAUAUCAGGGUGGCGUUGUUAUUGAAAUCUGCCUCACUUAAUUUGCAGAGAAUGUUUAUUAUGUACAUUUUACAAAAUUCAGAUGGAUUAAAAUGAAAUUUUAUUUUUUACAGGUGAAGAUAUUGUUGAACUAUUAUACACCAAGUAUUCUGAAUGUUGAGACUAAGAAUUCUGUCCGGUAGAUACUUGAAACAGCCAUAGAUAUUUAGUCAGGUAUGUUUUUAAACCAUUGUAGUGUAAAAUCAGAUUGAUUUAACUUAUUUAUUUUUGGUUAGAAUCUUUUAAAAGGCUUUUAUAUAUAUAUAUACUUAAUGGUAACAAUAUUUAAGAAAGCAAAAGUAAUUCCUCAAACAUAGAAGAAGCUCUCUGUAAUCAUGUGAUAAUUUUGUAGAUUUGAUUGUAAAAUCACGAAAUCAAACUUGAAAUCCUUUUACAAAUAAUUAAAUCAUUAUCGGGAGUUUUAUGUAGAAGCACAGCUCUUUUUUUUCUCUAAAUGUUAAAUGCAAUCACUGUUCAUGAAUCUAUUUGUGAUUUAAGAAAUUCAAAAUUUUAGGCGGUACACUGGUGGAUGGCUACAACACCUUCAGUAAUGACUAUUCACAUGUGUUAGAAACUAGACUUCUUAAUUCUAUUAAUCAGGUAUUAAGGAGUAAGAGCAAAGACUGUUAGGCCGUGAGUCAGUAUAGAUUUUCCAGGAAGGUGGACAUGUCUUCCUGCAGAACUAGUGGACUAGCACAUUUAAAAUCUGGCUCAGAUUGUUGGUCUAUAGAAUCACAUCAACAUGUUCUUAUUCUUCAAUAUGCAUUUAAUUUGCCUUUUGAUUACCAACAAUCCAUUCAUUCAUCUAUUAAUCAGAAGAGUUGUAGAACUAGUACUAGUAAUGCUAUAAAAAACAUUUUAAUAUUUUAUUCCACAGGUUAACAGACAAUACAAAUGUUACUGGUAGUAUAGGAAAUGAAACUGUACAAUAAUGUUAAUACCAUGACAGAUACUCAUAGUUCU